Molecule: ribosomal RNA, 447 nt
Filed under: uncultured soil bacterium
Lineage: Bacteria
Description: bacterial SSU rRNA
Rfam family: Bacterial small subunit ribosomal RNA
Source: RNAcentral
AGAACGAACGCUGGCGGCAUGCCUAAUACAUGCAAGUCGAACGAACUCUUCGGAGUUAGUGGCGCACGGGUGCGUAACGCGUGGGAAUCUGCCCCUUGGUUCGGAAUAACAGUUGGAAACGACUGCUAAUACCGGAUGAUGACGAAAGUCCAAAGAUUUAUCGCCAAGGGAUGAGCCCGCGUAGGAUUAGCUAGUUGGUGAGGUAAAGGCUCACCAAGGCAACGAUCCUUAGCUGGUCUGAGAGGAUGAUCAGCCACACUGGGACUGAGACACGGCCCAGACUCCUACGGGAGGCAGCAGUAGGGAAUAUUGGACAAUGGGCGAAAGCCUGAUCCAGCAAUGCCGCGUGAGUGAUGAAGGCCUUAGGUUGUAAAGCUCUUUACCCGAGAUGAUAAUGACAGUAUCGGGAAGAAUAACGCCCCGGCUAACUCCGUCGCCAGCAGCCGC